RNAcentral lists this ribosomal RNA (265 nucleotides) under uncultured bacterium. RNAcentral describes it as "partial 16S ribosomal RNA". It matches the Rfam family "Bacterial small subunit ribosomal RNA", at positions 793 to 1055 of the family's 1533-position model. The record is from RNAcentral.
GUCCACGCCCUAAACGAUGUCGACUGGAUGUUGGGUGCAACUUGGCACUCAGUAUCGAAGCUAACGCGUUAAGUCGACCGCCUGGGGAGUACGCGCGCAAGCGUGAAACUCAAAGGAAUUGACGGGGGCCCCGCACAAGCGGUGGAGUAUGUGGUUUAAUUCGAUGCAACGCGCAGAACCUUACCUGGUCUUGACAUGUCGAGAACCCUGCGGAGACGUGGGGGUGCCUUCGGGAACUCGAACACAGGUGCUGCAUGGCUGUCGU